UACAGAGGGGGCAAGCGUUAUUCGGAAUUAUUGGGCGUAAAGGGCGUGUAGGCGGGAAGGAAAGUCAGAUGUGAAAUCCCCAGGCUCAACCUGGGAACUGCAUUUGAGACUCCCUUUCUUGAGUACCGGAGAGGAAAGUGGAAUUCCUGGUGUAGAGGUGAAAUUCGUAGAUAUCAGGAGGAACACCAGUGGCGAAGGCGGCUUUCUGGACGGUAACUGACGCUGAGACGCGAAAGCGUGGGGAGCAAACAGG
RNAcentral lists this ribosomal RNA (253 nucleotides) under uncultured bacterium. RNAcentral describes it as "partial 16S ribosomal RNA". It matches the Rfam family "Bacterial small subunit ribosomal RNA", at positions 524 to 776 of the family's 1533-position model. The record is from RNAcentral.